AACGAACGCUGGCGGCAUGCCUAACACAUGCAAGUCGAACGAGACCUCCGGGCCUAGUGGCGCACGGGUGCGUAACGCGUGGGAACCUGCCCUUAGGUUCGGAAUAACUCCCCGAAAGGGGUGCUAAUACCGGAGAAUGUCUUCGGACCAAAGAUUUAUCGCCUUUGGAUGGGCCCGCGUUGGAUUAGCUAGUUGGUAGGGUAAAAGCCUACCAAGGCGACGAUCCAUAGCUGGUCUGAGAGGAUGAUCAGCCACACUGGGACUGAGACACGGCCCAGACUCCUACGGGAGGCAGCAGUGGGGAAUAUUGGACAAUGGGCGCAGGCCUGAUCCAGCAAUGCCGCGUGAGUGAUGAAGGCCUUAGGGUUGUAAAGCUCUUUUACCCGGGAUGAUAAUGACGGUACCGGGAGAAUAAGCUCCGGCUAACUCCGUG
Molecule: ribosomal RNA, 433 nt
Filed under: uncultured bacterium
Lineage: Bacteria
Description: partial 16S ribosomal RNA
Rfam family: Bacterial small subunit ribosomal RNA
Source: RNAcentral